Molecule: long non-coding RNA, 1237 nt
Filed under: Cyanistes caeruleus (blue tit)
Lineage: Eukaryota; Metazoa; Chordata; Aves; Passeriformes; Paridae
Description: lncRNA (ENSCCEG00000014070.1)
Source: RNAcentral
UUUCCAUCUGCUCAGCAAAUAGAGUUCCUUGCUAAUGGACAUUGUCAAGGGGAAGAGAAACUACUUUAAUGUGUAAAUCUGACAAAGGUCAGCUUAUGUUCCAUGGCAGCUCCAGCCAUACAGACACCCGGUGCUAAGUGGAUAGUCCUUGGCUCUUGGCAGUGAGUUGUGAGCUACAGACAGCUACAGACGGAGCACAGGAUUAAAAUGAGCUGAACUUCAGUGUUCUGACACAGGAAUUUGAGACCGAAGGGUCCCUGGAGCUGAAUCCAAGGCCUGGCACUGCAGCUUGCUCACAGGCCGGCAGGUUUUACAUAUGUUACACGAUUUGCACCAAUCAAUACAGAACGUGGACACGUGCUCACAUCUGGAACACAUGAGCCAUGAAGGCAGGGACUGAAUGGAGAUCUUGCAAGCACCCUGGCACUGUCUGGAUUUCAGGGAUGCAGCUCUACCACAGAGCAAAGCUGGAAGCUGCUUCCCUCAGCUGGCUGGCCAAGAAGGAAAACUCCAAAUUCCAUGUGAAUGUAGCACAGGACAAGGAUCACAACGCUGGAUCAAGGAUCUGCCUCUGCUCACAGCACUGCCAAGGACAUGGCAAUGCAUUUUAAUUCUGGCUAUGGAAGUAGGGAAAAUAAAGCUUUACCAAAAAGAAAAAAAUUAUUUCUUUAUAUAGGAAAUAUGAAAUUGAAGCAAACCACAAGGCUGCACCUAGAACACCUUUCUGAGCUCUCCAGCAUUCCCAUAGUCCUUGUUUCUGGUUAGCUGUCCAUCUCUCACAGCUUCCAGAGGCUCCAGAAACCCCCAUCUUUCCAGAGACCGUUCUGGAAGCAGCACUUUCUCCAUGGAGCACUUGCAGAUCUCCAGCUCUGAGGGCUGGACCAGAGCAUUUGCCCCAGAGUCUGAUUUAAAGACCCAUGGUCAUCCAGAAAAACCCAGAGCCUGAUUUGGCAACACUCUCCCUUGAGCAGACUGGUGAGAAAAGUGGAGACCAGGAACUUCAAUUGUAUGACAAGCUCAAGCCAGUGACAAAAGUCUUGCUGAUCUAGGCAAUUGCUAAAAAAAAAAGGGAAAAGAAAAAAAAACCAACCCAAGCAACCAAACUUGUUGUCUGUUCAGAUUGCUAACUAAAUAACCUGUGAGUGGCAAUAAUUCUGCAAAAGAUGCUCUCAGGAGUGUUUUUUACUGUGAAAGUGUUUAUAAAUAAAAAUAAAAAAAUGUAUCUGUGUAUAUUUCA